RNAcentral lists this transfer RNA (76 nucleotides) under Gammaproteobacteria bacterium. Its description in RNAcentral is "tRNA-Val". It matches the Rfam family "tRNA". From Rfam's summary of the family: Transfer RNA (tRNA) molecules are approximately 80 nucleotides in length. Their secondary structure includes four short double-helical elements and three loops (D, anti-codon, and T loops). RNAcentral also lists the same sequence under 1 other name. Lineage: Bacteria; Pseudomonadati; Pseudomonadota; Gammaproteobacteria. The record is from RNAcentral.
GGGCGAUUAGCUCAGUUGGGAGAGCAUCGCCCUUACAAGGCGAGGGUCACUGGUUCAAGUCCAGUAUCGCCCACCA